UACGGGAUGCCUUAGUACGGCGAGUGAAGCGGCAAAAGCUCAAAUUUGAAAUCUGGUACCUUCGGUGCCCGAGUUGUAAUUUGGAGAGGGCAACUUUGGGGCCGUUCCUUGUCUAUGUUCCUUGGAACAGGACGUCAUAGAGGGUGAGAAUCCCGUGUGGCGAGGAGUGCGGUUCUUUGUAAAGUGCCUUCGAAGAGUCGAGUUGUUUGGGAAUGCAGCUCUAAGUGGGUGGUAAAUUCCAUCUAAAGCUAAAUAUUGGCGAGAGACCGAUAGCGAACAAGUACAGUGAUGGAAAGAUGAAAAGAACUUUGAAAAGAGAGUGAAAAAGUACGUGAAAUUGUUGAAAGGGAAGGGCAUUUGAUCAGACAUGGUGUUUUGUGCCCUCUGCUCCUUGUGGGUAGGGGAAUCUCGCAUUUCACUGGGCCAGCAUCAGUUUUGGUGGCAGGAUAAAUCCAUAGGAAUGUAGCUUGCCUCGGUAAGUAUUAUAGCCUGUGGGAAUACUGCCAGCUGGGACUGAGGACUGCGACGUAAGUCAAGGAUGCUGGCAUAAUGGUUAUAUGCCGCCCGUCUGAAAACCGGGACCCAAAAAAGCCAAAAAAAAAGAAAAAAA
Molecule: ribosomal RNA, 610 nt
Filed under: Saccharomyces cerevisiae (brewer's yeast)
Lineage: Eukaryota; Fungi; Ascomycota; Saccharomycetes; Saccharomycetales; Saccharomycetaceae
Description: eukaryotic LSU rRNA
Rfam family: Eukaryotic large subunit ribosomal RNA
Source: RNAcentral